RNAcentral lists this ribosomal RNA (466 nucleotides) under uncultured bacterium. Its description in RNAcentral is "partial 16S ribosomal RNA". It matches the Rfam family "Bacterial small subunit ribosomal RNA", at positions 28 to 507 of the family's 1533-position model. The record is from RNAcentral.
GAUGAACGCUGGCGGCGUGCUUAACACAUGCAAGUCGAACGGAAAGGCUCCUGCUUGCAGGGGUACUCGAGUGGCGAACGGGUGAGUAACACGUGGGUGAUCUGCCCUGCACUUCGGGAUAAGCCUGGGAAACUGGGUCUAAUACCGGAUAGGACGAUGGUUUGGAUGCCAUUGUGGAAAGUUUUUUCGGUGUGGGAUGAGCUCGCGGCCUAUCAGCUUGUUGGUGGGGUAAUGGCCUACCAAGGCGUCGACGGGUAGCCGGCCUGAGAGGGUGUACGGCCACAUUGGGACUGAGAUACGGCCCAGACUCCUACGGGAGGCAGAAGUGGGGAAUAUUGCACAAUGGGCGCAAGCCUGAUGCAGCGACGCCGCGUGGGGGAUGACGGCCUUCGGGUUGUAAACUCCUUUCGCUAGGGACGAAGCGCAAGUGACGGUACCUGGAGAAGAAGCACCGGCUAACUACGUG